UGUUGCAGCCUGAAUCAACUCAGCUGAACAUUAUUGUGGAUUCUAUAAUACUUCCGAUGUUGUGUGAUUCCACAGCAGUGAAGCAAACAGCAGGAAGCUAGUGUGCCCCAUAUUUAUUCUGAUUUGUCUACACAAAGGACAACUGUGUUAUUAUCCCUGCGAGAACCGACACCAUGGCAUCUGCAAAUAGAACUUCUAUAUGCCACAGUAUUAUGAGAUACUGACUGACUUGCCCAAUGUUUUCCGUUUGGGAUUUUCAAGAUUGUUUCAACUGGAAUGCAUCUCUGGAAAGGAAAGUUUAUUACCAGGACGACUGAUUUAGUGACAGGAGACACAUAAGACUGCAGAUACUGGAAUCUGGAGCAAAAGGCAAAUUGCUGGAGGAACUUACUGGGUCA
Molecule: long non-coding RNA, 398 nt
Organism: Pristis pectinata (smalltooth sawfish)
Lineage: Eukaryota; Metazoa; Chordata; Chondrichthyes; Rhinopristiformes; Pristidae
Exons: 3
Source: RefSeq, a predicted model, not a curated record